AUUGUUAGUUGCCAUCAUUCAGUUGGGCACUCUAGCGAGACUGCCGGUAAUAACCGGAGAAGUGGGGAUGACGUCAAAUCAUCAUGCCCCUUAUGACCUGGGCUACACACGUGCUACAAUGGUUGGUACAACGAGUUGCGAGUCGGUGACGGCGAGCUAAUCUCUUAAAGCCAAUCUCAGUUCGGAUUGUAGGCUGCAACUCGCCUACAUGAAGUCGGAAUCGCUAGUAAUCGCGGAUCAGCACGCCGCGGUGAAUACGUUCCCGGGCCUU
Molecule: ribosomal RNA, 271 nt
Filed under: uncultured Streptococcus sp.
Lineage: Bacteria; Bacillati; Bacillota; Bacilli; Lactobacillales; Streptococcaceae
Description: partial 16S ribosomal RNA
Rfam family: Bacterial small subunit ribosomal RNA
Source: RNAcentral